RNAcentral lists this unclassified non-coding RNA (336 nucleotides) under soil metagenome. RNAcentral describes it as "partial contains 5.8S ribosomal RNA, internal transcribed spacer 2, and large subunit ribosomal RNA". The stretch from base 1 to 120 matches the Rfam family "5.8S ribosomal RNA", at positions 35 to 154 of the family's 154-position model. The record is from RNAcentral.
GAUGAAUAACGUAGCGAAAUGCGAUACGUAGUGUGAAUUGCAGAAUUCAGUGAAUCAUCGAAUCUUUGAACGCACAUUGCGCCCGCCAGUAUUCUGGCGGGCAUGCCUGUUCGAGCGUCAUUUCAACCAUCAAGCCCCAGGCUUGUGUUGGGGACCUGCGGCUGCCGCAGGCCCUGAAAACCAGUGGCGGGCUCGCUGUCACACCGGGCGUAGUAGAUUUUAUCUCGCUCAGGGCGUGCUGCGGGUUCCGGCCGUUAAAAAGCCUUUUUUACCCAAGGUUGACCUCGGAUCAGGUAGGAAGACCCGCUGAACUUAAGCAUAUCAAUAAGCGGAGGA